This 493-nucleotide ribosomal RNA is filed under the name uncultured bacterium. RNAcentral's name for it is "partial 16S ribosomal RNA". It matches the Rfam family "Bacterial small subunit ribosomal RNA", at positions 28 to 507 of the family's 1533-position model. The record is from RNAcentral.
GACGAACGCUGGCGGCGUGCUUAACACAUGCAAGUCGAACGGUGAAGGGACCGGUUUUUGCUGGUUCUGGAUGAGUGGCGAACGGGUGAGUAACACGUGAGUAACCUGCCCCCUUCUUCUGGAUAACCGCAUGAAAGUGUGGCUAAUACGGGAUAUUCUGCGCCUGCUGCAUGGUGGGUGUGGGAAAGAUAUUGUUUCGGUGGGGGAUGGGCUCGCGGCCUAUCAGCUUGUUGGUGGGGUGAUGGCCUACCAAGGCGGUGACGGGUAGCCGGCCUGAGAGGGUGGACGGUCACACUGGGACUGAGAGACGGCGCAGACUCCUACGGGAGGCAGCAGUGGGGAAUAUUGCACAGUGGGAGGAAGCCUGAUGCAGCGACGCGGCGGGAGGGAUGGAGGCCUUCGGGUUGUAAACCUCUUUCGCCAGUGAAGCAGGCCUGUCCCUUUUGUGGGUGGGUUGACGGUAGCUGGAUAAGAAGCGCCGGCUAACUACGUG